UCCGAGGUAGCUCAAUGGUGGAGCAAUCGGCUGUUAACCGAUAGGCUGUGGGUUCGAGCCCCACCCUCGGAGCCA
This 75-nucleotide transfer RNA is filed under the name Clostridiales bacterium. Its description in RNAcentral is "tRNA-Asn". It matches the Rfam family "tRNA". Rfam says of the family: Transfer RNA (tRNA) molecules are approximately 80 nucleotides in length. The record is from RNAcentral. Lineage: Bacteria; Bacillati; Bacillota; Clostridia; Eubacteriales.